CCCUUAGAUGUCCUGGGCCGCACGCGCGCUACACUGAACGGAUCAGCGCGUUUUCCCUUCCCGAGAGGGACGGGUAACCUGCUGAACCCCGUUCGUGGUAGGGAUCGGGGCUUGCAAUUAUUCCCCGUGGACCAGGAAUGCCCAGUAAGUGCAAGUCAUAAGCUUGCGUUGAUUACGUCCCUGCCCUUUGUACACACCGCCCGUCGCUACUACCGAUUGAACGUUUUAGUGAGGUACUCGGACUGAGCCUCAGAAGAUUCACGUCUUUUGUGCUGCUCGGGAAGAUUCCCAAACUUGAGCGUUUAGAGGAAGUAAAAGUCGUAACA
This 326-nucleotide ribosomal RNA is filed under the name uncultured eukaryote. RNAcentral describes it as "partial 18S ribosomal RNA". It matches the Rfam family "Eukaryotic small subunit ribosomal RNA", at positions 1470 to 1796 of the family's 1831-position model. The record is from RNAcentral.